Molecule: ribosomal RNA, 277 nt
Filed under: uncultured bacterium
Lineage: Bacteria
Description: partial 16S ribosomal RNA
Rfam family: Bacterial small subunit ribosomal RNA
Source: RNAcentral
GGCGAACGCUGGCGGCGUGCCUUAGACAUGCAAGUCGAGCGGCAGGCAGUCCUUCGGGGCUGCCGAGAGCGGCGAACGGCGGAGUAACACGUGGGUAACCUGCCCCGAAGACCGGGACAACCCUGGGAAACUGGGGCUAAUACCGGAUGUGGAUACGCUGGCUUCGGCUGGCGUAUCUAAAGGGAGCAAUCCGCUUCGGGAUGGGCCCGCGGCCUAUCAGGUAGUUGGUGAGGUAACGGCUCACCAAGCCUGCGACGGGUAGCCGGUCUGAGAGGAU